Molecule: ribosomal RNA, 468 nt
Filed under: uncultured bacterium
Lineage: Bacteria
Description: partial 16S ribosomal RNA
Rfam family: Bacterial small subunit ribosomal RNA
Source: RNAcentral
GACGAACGCUGGCGGCGUGCUUAACACAUGCAAGUCGAACGGAAAGGCCCUGCUUUUGUGGGGUGCUCGAGUGGCGAACGGGUGAGUAACACGUGAGUAACCUGCCCUUGACUUUGGGAUAACUUCAGGAAACUGGGGCUAAUACCGGAUAGGAGCUCCUGCUGCAUGGGGGGGGUUGGAAAGUUUCGGCGGUUGGGGAUGGAUUCGCGGCUUAUCAGCUUGUUGGGGGGGUAGUGGCUUACCAAGGCUUUGACGGGUAGCCGGCCUGAGAGGGUGACCGGCCACCUUGGGACUGCGAUACGGCCCAGACUCCUACGGUAGGCAGCAGUGGGGAAUAUUGCACAAUGGGCGGACGCCUGAUGCAGCGACGCCGCGUGCGGGAUGACGGCUUUCGGGUUGUAAACCGCUUUCGCCUGUGCCGAAGCGUGAGUGACGGUAAUGGGUAAGGAAGCACCGGCUAACUACGUG